Molecule: ribosomal RNA, 253 nt
Filed under: uncultured bacterium
Lineage: Bacteria
Description: partial 16S ribosomal RNA
Rfam family: Bacterial small subunit ribosomal RNA
Source: RNAcentral
UACGUAGGGUGCAGGCGUUAAUCGGAAUUACUGGGCGUAAAGCGUGCGCAGGCGGUUUCUUAAGUCAGAUGUGAAAGCCCCGGGCUUAACCUGGGAACUGCGUUUGAAACUGGGAGACUUGAGUGUGGCAGAGGGGGGUGGAAUUCCACGUGUAGCAGUGAAAUGCGUAGAUAUGUGGAGGAACACCGAUGGCGAAGGCAGCCCCCUGGGUUAACACUGACGCUCAUGCACGAAAGCGUGGGGAGCAAGCAGG